RNAcentral lists this microRNA precursor (102 nucleotides) under Prunus dulcis (almond). RNAcentral's name for it is "sRNA ncRNA". The record is from RNAcentral. Lineage: Eukaryota; Viridiplantae; Streptophyta; Magnoliopsida; Rosales; Rosaceae.
AUAUUAAUAAUUAAAUAGUAUAGCCGCGCGGCUGUACUAUUUUAAUAUAUACGAAUAUUCUAAACGUAUAGCCGUACGGCUAUACUCUUUAAAUAUAUGAGA